AUUCCCUGUUAUCUACACUGUGUGGAAGACAUCUUUUCAGAGUCUAUGCAUGGCUGAAGGGCACAGUUCCUGUAGCUGUUUACACUGGUGAGCCAGAUGGGUCUUCUCAGAGCCCUACCAACUGUCUUGGAGGAAUUCUAGUAUUGUAAUAACAGAACCUGGUUGCUGCCCAGAAAUAAAGGAAAAGAAUUUUCAGAAUGACAGUCCUUAUAACCAGAUGCUUAUCAGCAUCCUUCACAAUGUCCUGAAGAUAAAUUUCUACAAGGUGGAGUCACAGGAGAAAAUCCAAAGAGGAGUAAAAAAUAAUAAUGCUGAUGUCAUGUUAGAGUGGAGGCCCUGGACACUGUUGUGGACCCAGUCUCAAGUUUCUGCUACAGUUAGAAGAUGUGGAAGUGAUCAGGUGCAAAUCGAAUUUUUCACACAAGCGAAGCCCGAGUCAGCAUGGGGGGCGGUGGCGGAGGGGCAGGGAGAGACUGUCAUUGAUAGAGAGUUACUUAGGACACAGUCAGCAGGGCUGGGAUACAGCUACAGUUUUAUAUACAUUCAUGGGUAUAGAAAACAUGGACAUCAAGGCCUUUGUAGGAAAAAGUUUGGUCAUUACUGA
RNAcentral lists this long non-coding RNA (604 nucleotides) under Macaca fascicularis (crab-eating macaque). RNAcentral describes it as "lncRNA (ENSMFAG00000065604.1)". The record is from RNAcentral. Lineage: Eukaryota; Metazoa; Chordata; Mammalia; Primates; Cercopithecidae.